RNAcentral lists this small RNA (85 nucleotides) under Halpernia frigidisoli. RNAcentral describes it as "Flavo-1 RNA". It matches the Rfam family "Flavo-1 RNA". Lineage: Bacteria; Pseudomonadati; Bacteroidota; Flavobacteriia; Flavobacteriales; Weeksellaceae. The record is from Rfam by way of RNAcentral.
AACCAGCCCUGAUUGAAGCGGCAUCCUUUUUUGUCCCGAUUGAAAAAUCGAGAUAAAAAAGAUAUAGCGAAAAGCAGGUUCCCGG